AAAAAAAAAAAAAAAAAAACUGAUUUUGUAAAGAAAGAAGGUUGUACAAUUUUUUUAUUAGACAGAGGACCUAAAGCCCAAAAUAGAAGUAGAGAAGGAAAACAGAUCCUAUUUGUGAGGGAAAAUGAGGAAAAAUGCCACCAAGUCAUGCGGGCUGACCUUGACUGCCGAGAAAGUAGAAGCUUAACUACUACUUACCCGUGUAAAGCCCUACAAAUCAGUUCUGUUUUCCAACUUCCCUUUGAAUUCCAGCCUAUAAAGGGUUUCCAACUCUCACUCAAAAACCUU
RNAcentral lists this unclassified non-coding RNA (288 nucleotides) under Hevea brasiliensis (rubber tree). The record is from RNAcentral. Lineage: Eukaryota; Viridiplantae; Streptophyta; Magnoliopsida; Malpighiales; Euphorbiaceae.